Molecule: non-coding RNA, 1528 nt
Organism: Sus scrofa (pig)
Lineage: Eukaryota; Metazoa; Chordata; Mammalia; Artiodactyla; Suidae
Source: RefSeq, a predicted model, not a curated record
GUCAGGGUAAGAGGGCGUGAGAGGAAAACUGUCAGUUGCUGCUCUGCUGAGACAUGAGAAACAUCCACAAAGGCAAAAAUGUCAAGACCUGUGGCAAAUCAGAAAUUAAGAAAAAUAUUAAAAAUGUACAUAGUUGUUACCAAUGACAACAUGUAGAUCAGAAGUUAAGGCAAGCACUUAGAGACAGAAGCCCAUUAUGACCCAAAUUGGCACUGCCUCCAGGUUUCUCUGAGUCAUCAGUAUUACAAUAAACAGUUUUUAAGUGGUUUUCAGAUGAAUGGAGGUAUAUCAGCUUGAGGUCUACCAGUUAUUAUUUGUUUUAAUAAGGGAAAUGAAGAGGGGGAAGAUGGGCUUUUACGAAAACCGAACUGCAUGGCUCACAGCUAAGAAAAGAGUAGUCACCAGUAUUCUAAUUUUUCAACCACAAAACAUCCUGGAAGGCUCUGGACAUACUUUUAUGUUCAUAAUUUCAGUACCUGCACAUUUGAUUUCAUCUUUAAUUGGUUCUGUGUGCCUGAGGAAUGGCAAAAGGAAUUCUUUAAAGACAGACAUGCCACAGAAAGGAGCGAAAAAACCAAAAAACCAAAUGGCAAACAGCCACAGCCUUCCAUUAUAGAAUAGCAAGCGACUCCCAGGCCCUAGUUCCAGCAGAGGUUAACGCGCACCAGCACAUGAAUUCUCUCUCCUCCAGCAACACACACACCAGCGACGGGUCCUGUCCCGCGGGAUGAGCUCCGCACGGUGCUGAGCGAGCAUUCUGCCUUCCUGUGCAGUUGCCAAGCAAACCACCUCACGGCGGGCAGAAACAGCACACAAAAGGGAGUUGUGGUUGCGAGUUCUCCAGGCUGGUAAAAGCCCCAGUGAGGAGGCAAUUAUUUACCUCAUUACCUUAACUAUUCCCCCGCGGAAACCAAUCCAGUUUUCUCCUAUGAAUAGCUGCUCAGGAGCAGCCAGGCAUAAGAGGCUGAGUUCCCAGCAGUACUUUCACCUGGAAUACACUGGGCAGAGCUAUUGUUUCCUUUGGAAGCCAGAGAAGCUCAUCUCAGUCGAUCUCUUCACUUCUGACAAGAGACCACAUAUGCAGUACAUAGCAGACAAGCAGGAGACAGACUCUCAGAAACUAUGCCACUAACUAAUAACACCCCGGAACUGACCACAAGUACAAGACUCUAAUGCAGGAGACCAGCAGACUGUUAUGGACUGAACAUUUGUGUCUCCUCUUAAAUUCAUAUAUUGAAGCCCUAACCCCAGUGUGGCUGUAUUUGGAGAUGGCAUCACUCAAGAAAAGUGAUUAGAUCAGGUCAGAAGGGUGGGGCCCUGAUCCUGCAGGAUUGGCGUCCUCAUAUGGAGAGACACUGGACAGCCCUCUGUACACGGGAGCACCAGGGACAGGCCCUGCGAGGAUGUGAGAAGGUGGCCCUCUACCUGCCGGGAAGAGUCUUUACCGGAAAUCAUACUGGUCACAACCUUGAUACUGAACUUCUAGCCUCAGGAACUGUUUGUAAAUAAAUUUCUGUUGUCUAAGCUC